Molecule: ribosomal RNA, 497 nt
Filed under: uncultured bacterium
Lineage: Bacteria
Description: partial 16S ribosomal RNA
Rfam family: Bacterial small subunit ribosomal RNA
Source: RNAcentral
GAUGAACGCUGGCGGCGUGCCUAACACAUGCAAGUCGAGCGAACAGACGAUGAGCUUGCUGCUCUGACGUUAGCGGCGGACGGGUGAGUAACACGUGGAUAACCUCCCUAUAAUACUGGGAUAACUUCGGGAAACCGGAGCUAAUACCGGAUAAUAUAUUGCUCCACAUGGUUCAUUAGUUAAUGACGGUUUUUCUGUCACUUAUAGAUGGUUCUGCGCCGGAUUAGCUAGUUGGGACGGUAACGGCUUACCAAGGCAACGAUGCGUAGACGAGCUGAGAGGGGGGUAGGCCCCACUGGAACGGAGACACGGUCCAGACUACUACGGGAGGCAGCAGUAGGGAAUCGUACGCAGUGGGCGAAAGCAUGACGCAGCAAGGCCAAGUGAGUGACGAAAGUCCUCGGAUCGUAAAGCUCUGUUAUUAGGGAAGAACAAAUGUGUAAGUAACUAGGGACGGCUUGACGGUACCAAAUCAAAAAGCACCGGCUAACUACGUG